RNAcentral lists this long non-coding RNA (539 nucleotides) under Androctonus crassicauda. The record is from RNAcentral. Lineage: Eukaryota; Metazoa; Arthropoda; Arachnida; Scorpiones; Buthidae.
UGGUAACAUUAAACAUCGCGUACUCUAUUUGUUAGGAGAUACAUUGGCUAAGUAUGGCUCACUUACUAAUAACGGAAAUAAUAAUAAUGAAACAAUUAAAUGGUUAAAUAAAUACAAAGAAAAAUAAAAAAAAAUAAUACAUAUAGAAUCAAGCGGAAUGUCGAAAAAACUAACUAUAGUACAAAGUACAUUUAACUCCCAAGAACGUAAGGCUCCUCUUUUUUUUAGGCGGGUUAAAGUUUUGCGCAGUCAUUUAAAAUCCCUUAACUUGUAUUUCCGAGCUGCUGGUAAGUCGGCUGAAGGUUUGUCAUUUAUUAGGUUCUGGUUGUCUCUCGCUUUCAAAAUUUCUAUUGUUUUUUGGGUUACUGCCUGUGUUGGUAGCUUAAUCGUCUUUAUUAUCUCUGCACGGUCAUUCUAUAUGCAUAUCGUUAAGAUAGGCUUGUUCAGCUAGGGCCGUCGUAAUUCUGCCUGCCUUGAUAUCAUUUCUAUGUUCUUUGAGCCUUUGUCAAAAUAUCAUUUACUAUCAUCAUCUACUAUUC